AGGUCGGACAGCGCAGGACCCUUGCGAAGGGUCCAGAGCGCGUCGGGUGAGGUCGCGGCGAAGGCCCUCGGCAAAGACGGGCGCUCCGCAGCUCUCUCCCCGCCCAGUGCGUCCGUAAGCCCCGGACCGGCUCCAGCUUCCAACCUGACAGGCCCUAACCGGCUCUCUGCGCUUACCGAUUGACGCCAUCUUGGAGUCCGGGGUGUCCGCUCUGCGGGGCCGCGCAAGGACUGCUGGGUAUGGCGCACGCGCCCCGGCGUGGGGUCGUGGAGAGCAGAGGCUCACGGGAAGCAGGUCGGGAGUGAGGCUCCGCUGGCGCUGCCAGUGCUCCGCGGGAUGAAGGGCAAAGUCUCUGGAGAGCAAAGCCCCCCCGGCCCCCUCAGCUGCGGGCGGAGGAGGGAGAGAAGGGCCCAGCCUAGCUCUCCAUCCCGGGAGGGAAUCCGAAAACGGGAAGUGGAAGGAAAAGAAUAUCCUGGCUUUCUUACUCUGUCACCUUGAGCAUAUCAGGAUCCUUCCUCCCAACUGGACUGGAUGGGGAGAUGAGCGCCGAUUCUUAAGGAAUUCCCAGUCACCAGGAAACGUGUUCACCCAGGUUUAAAUUACAAAGACAACAUCUGUGCCUCAGUUGUAUUUUAGCUCCAGGCCCAGAUAAGCAACAAAACCAGCCACGGCUGACAGCUGACCUCAGGACUAGCUGCUUUGAAUAAUGACUCCCUGCCCUGGUGCCAGCCAAUCAAUCAGUAGCGACCACGACCCUGAAAAGACACACCUGGAAAUCUGCUGAAUAUCCUAUUGAGAUCUUCCCCUGGGACCUCCCCUAAAAUACCCACCUUAACAUUCCUAGGGAGGACCCAGUGCUCUCUUCCUCCCCAGAGCACACCAUGCCUUUCCCUUUCCUUUUCCCCACCCCCUCCCUGCCCCAGGCACCUUACCAUUAGCUUCCUCACUUCCAGGCUCCAAGGACCCUUCUUUUGCCUCCACAACUUGUCUCCCUAAGUCUAUUCCAGGAAUUACUUUUUCUACCUCUUGAUUUACCAAAUAAAUGUCCUCCUACA
This is a long non-coding RNA of Eptesicus fuscus (big brown bat), 1055 nucleotides long. RefSeq lists it as uncharacterized. Lineage: Eukaryota; Metazoa; Chordata; Mammalia; Chiroptera; Vespertilionidae. The transcript is spliced from 2 exons. The record is from RefSeq and is a predicted model, not a curated record.